RNAcentral lists this ribosomal RNA (484 nucleotides) under uncultured bacterium. RNAcentral describes it as "partial 16S ribosomal RNA". It matches the Rfam family "Bacterial small subunit ribosomal RNA", at positions 29 to 507 of the family's 1533-position model. The record is from RNAcentral.
AUUGAACGCUGGCGGCAGGCCUAACACAUGCAAGUCGAGCGGAUGAAGGGAGCUUUCUCCUGGAUUCAGCGGCGGACGGGUGAGUAAUGCCUAGGAAUCUGCCUGGUAGUGGGGGAUAACGUCCGGAAACGGGCGCUAAUACCGCCUACGUCCUGAGGGAGAAAGUGGGGGAUCUUCGGACCUCACGCGAGCAGAUGAGCCUAGGUCGGGUUAGCUAGUUGGUGGGGUAAAGGGCUACCAAGGCGACGAUCCGUAACUGGUCUGAGAGGAUGAUCAGUCACACGAGAACUGAGACACGGUCAAGACUCCUAAGAGACGCAGCAGUGGGGAAUAGUAGACAAUGGGCGAGAACCUGACACAGCCAGGCGGCGUGUGUGAAGGAAGUCUUCGGAUUGUGAAGCACUUUAAGGGGGGAGAAAGGGCAGUCAGUUGAUACCUUGCUGUUUUGACGGUACCAACAGAAGAAGCACCGGCUAACUUCGUG